Molecule: ribosomal RNA, 241 nt
Filed under: uncultured Actinomycetales bacterium
Lineage: Bacteria; Bacillati; Actinomycetota; Actinomycetes; Actinomycetales
Description: partial 16S ribosomal RNA
Rfam family: Bacterial small subunit ribosomal RNA
Source: RNAcentral
ACUCGAGUGGCGAACGGGUGAGUAACACGUGGGUGAUCUGCCCUGCACUUCGGGAUAAGCUUGGGAAACUGGGUCUAAUACCGGAUAGGAGCCAUCUUUAGUGUGGUGGUUGGAAAGUUUUUCGGUGUGGGAUGAGCUCGCGGCCUAUCAGCUUGUUGGUGGGGUAAUGGCCUACCAAGGCGUCGACGGGUAGCCGGCCUGAGAGGGUGUACGGCCACAUUGGGACUGAGAUACGGCCCAG